CCCUUAGAUGUUCUGGGCCGCACGCGCGCUACACUGAUGCAUUCAACGAGUCUAAAACCUGCUCUGAUAGGGGUGGGUAAUCUUUUGAAUGUGCAUCGUGAUUGGGAUAGAUGGUUGCAAUUGUCGAUCUUGAACGAGGAAUUCCUAGUAAGCGCGAGUCAUCAGCUCGCGCUGAUUACGUCCCUGCCCUUUGUACACACCGCCCGUCGCUACUACCGAUUGGAUGGUUUAGCGAGAACUUUGGACCGGAGCUCGGGUGGUCAGCAAUGGCCGCCCGAGACAUACUGGGAAAUCGCUCCAGCUUGAUCAUCUAGAGGAAGUAAAAGUCGUAACA
RNAcentral lists this ribosomal RNA (334 nucleotides) under uncultured eukaryote. RNAcentral's name for it is "partial 18S ribosomal RNA". It matches the Rfam family "Eukaryotic small subunit ribosomal RNA", at positions 1470 to 1796 of the family's 1831-position model. The record is from RNAcentral.